RNAcentral lists this ribosomal RNA (340 nucleotides) under Cyclostephanos makarovae. RNAcentral describes it as "SSU rRNA". It matches the Rfam family "Eukaryotic small subunit ribosomal RNA", at positions 617 to 959 of the family's 1831-position model. Lineage: Eukaryota; Bacillariophyta; Thalassiosirophyceae; Thalassiosirales; Thalassiosiraceae. The record is from RNAcentral.
AGUUAAAAAGCUCGUAGUUGGAUUUCUGGCAGGAGCGACCGGUCGCGCACUCUGUGCGUGAACUUGGCUGUCUCUGGCCAUCCUUGGGGAGAUCCUGUUUGGCAUUAAGUUGUCGGGCAGGGGAUACCCAUCGUUUACUGUGAAAAAAUUAGAGUGUUUAAAGCAGGCUUAUGCCGUUGAAUAUAUUAGCAUGGAAUAAUAAGAUAGGACUUCGGAACUAUUUUGUUGGUUUGCGUUACGAAGUAAUGAUUAAUAGGGACAGUUGGGGGUAUUCGUAUUCCGUUGUCAGAGGUGAAAUUCUUGGAUUUCCGGAAGACGAACUACUGCGAAAGCAUUUACC